Non-coding RNA from Malus domestica (apple), 4324 nucleotides. NCBI's taxonomy places the organism in Eukaryota, Viridiplantae, Streptophyta, Magnoliopsida, Rosales, Rosaceae. The record is from RefSeq and is a predicted model, not a curated record.
ACCAAUCAAACUCUCCCCUCAUUUUCCACACGCAAUCAGACACCAUCACUUCAAACCUCUUCUCAACCAAUCAGAGAAGCUAUCAUUCUCUAUCUCAUCUUCUUCCUCUUUCUCUCACAUGUACCUCCAUCUUCUCUGCAACUACAAGGACCUUCAUCAAACACUCACAAAUCGAACUUAAAAAUACCACCAUCGUGAUCCUCCCAUCCUCACGAACCCCAUAAUACAAAUCGAUCUUUAAGUGGUUGAGUUUUGGCUCACUAACUUGGAAGCUCCGACUCAGAAGAGUUUGCUCCAACGUGAUCCCAGCCGAGUUACGAUAUUUUGAAGGUUGUGGAAGCAUCUACACAACUCCCUGGAGUCCCUAGGCUAAGUUUGAAGUGAAGACAACGUCGAGAAGCACGGUUUCAAGGAGUCGAGUUUUAAGCCAAGACUUGCGAGGCUUUUUCAGGCCAUUUUUCGUCCAUUUUUAGGCUUUUGAAAGGUAUAGACUUGUUCUACUCCUCAAGAUCUCUAUUUCCAUAUAAACUUUGUUGAAAAUGGUUAAGAAAUAAGCGAGUUAUGAAGGUUUGAAAAUCUUCCAAUUUCCAACGAAACCAGACGGCGGCACCAGCAAUGGUGAGACUCAUCGGAGAAAACGAGGAAUAUUCCGUCAAAGUUGACGGAAUAUUCUAACGACGUCAGGUAACGCCGUUACUAUUUAAUGAAAUAUUCAAUUAAUUAUGACAGAAUAUUCCUAUUGUCCGUCAGACUUCUUUCAGUCCCUGGCCUGUGCGUGGGCGCGCGUGAGGGCGCGUCCGGCCACCGGCCGGCGAGUGCUUGACAUAUUCGGGUCCAUGAUGUCGAGUAUAGUGUUUUCAUAUAUUUAAACCUUUCAUUUGAGCAAAAUAUGAGGAGCUUUCCUAGCUUUUAGUGAAGGUGUUAAUUAACUAAUUAUUAUUAGUUGUUUCACAUAUAGGGGAGACUUACCUUGAGAACGUACGAGGACAAGCGAGGCUAGGGGGCUACGAUCCAUCUACGUAUCAGUGAAUGAGCCUUUUGUUUUCAAAUAUAUAUAUAUAUAUAUAUAUAUAUAUAUAUAUAUAUAUAUGCUUUUAAAUUGAUUUAUGCAUAUUAUGCCAUGAUUUAUUAAAUUUUUAAAAUGAUGUUAUGUGGUUGAGAUUUAUAUAUUGUCAUGGCAUAUUCAUAUACAUUUUACCUGCUCAUCAAUGUUGUUGUAAAAUGCUAAAAUAAUCCUACAAGAUGCGCAUGUAAGUUCAAGUAAGUUCAUAUAUUGAUUAGAAUUAUUGCAUCAUUAUGGCAUGCUUAUAUUCAUGUAGUCUACUCAUCAUUGCUGCACCCUGGUGUUAGUGCUCACCCCGGGCCAGGGCCAGUCCUUCACGUGUAUGUUCACCUCUGCACUGCACGCUAGCCUUGGAUCCAAGUAGGUGCUAGUCAUGUCGUACAGGUCGUAUUAGGCGACUCUGACUCGUAGGUGACCGCGAUUAUCGCCAGUCUUCAUGUGAUCGUAGCAUUAUAGUGUAUAUUAAUACACCCUGUCAUGUCAUACAAGUCACACUAGGCGACUUCGACUUGUGUGCUAGCAUAGAUUGAUAAGCAUGCCAAUCGUACAGAUCACAUUAGGCGAAUAUGACUUAUGUGCUAGUAUAUAUCAAUUGAACACCUGAUUUUAUUUAUAUUACUGUUGAGAUAUUGUGGUGUGGCAUACUACUUGAUUUACUGUUGAUUUAUAUUUGAUUUCAUACCUAUACGUAGUAUGAUUUUCUGUAAACUAUACAUGUUUUACAGCGAGGGGUUAGUAUGUUCGGAAAAUAACUAUGUUUUAUAAACCUUUAUUUUUAUGCCCACUCACCCUUCUGUUUUUCGCCCCUCUAAGUCCUAUAUAGCUAACCUACCUUGUGGUGUGCGAGGAUCAGCAGCGAUUAUGACAUAUUCCUGUUUAAAUGUAGGGGACUUUUCCCGGUUGUGUACUAAGUACUUAUUUAGUUUCGUCUGCACUGCUUAUUUUAUCUAUGCUCUGAACAGUUGUAGUUUAUGGGUUCUACCCGCUACUGCACACUCACUUUAUUAGUUUAAAUAUGUUCUAACUUCGGUUUUAAUUUAUUCACACUUUUACAUCAUUCACACUUUGGUUACGUCACCUUCAGGGCGACAGCCACCAUGCCUUGACUCCGGUUGGGGUGUGUCAUCUAGCAUGCCUACUAAAACAAUCUUAAUUUCAAUUUUAAUAAGUCUAAUUCAACCCAUGAGUUUUGGGCAUUUUUUUGAUAAAUUAUUCAAUUAAUAGACAAAAUUUGGAAAAAAAAUCAUUUUAAAACUAUUAAGACAUUUAAAAUUAUAGUGAAGAAAAUAUAUUAUUACGGUGCUUCUAAGAAACACUAAAAUGACAACCAUUUAACCGAACAUUGAUAUUGUUUUUUUACUUGGAUGAUUUUUCGUAAAAAUGAUUAUUUAGGAAAGACUUAAAAAUAAAAGGUUCAUAUCAUUGAAAUUCAAGUGGACCUGACAAAGUCUCUAUUUUUUAGAAAAUAGGAAUCACUCACCUCAAGCAACCUGGUCUAAGUAAUAAUAUUAUUAUGUUAUUAGUAUUAUAGUAUAGUAGUAUGAGAUCUGAUUUUCACAUAACCAUUUUAACCCCAAUUCCAACAAAAUUAACUUUUAAAUUUUAUUUCACUUGAUUGUAAUUGAUUCUUAUUCAAUCCACAUAAAAAAAAUUAGGGACGAAGCAAAAUAAGGUGUAUAGCCCAAGGGUGUCCUAAAGUGGCGAAAAUAUUCAAUCAACAUUGUAUAGCUCAAAAAUAAAACUAUUCUUUAUUUAUGAUCAUCAGAUUGAAUGAAUCAAAUGGAAACAACAAACAUAUUAAAAGAGUGUGUAGAAUAGAAAAAUGAUGUGUGUUUAUCAUUUUCUUAGCUAGUAGUAUCUAUCUCCAUUUGUAGGUGAGAGAUUUCAGAUUUGACCCACAUUGAUGGCGAGUUCGAUAACUAAUUAUUAUUAGGGAGUUUUAACGAAAAAUCCGCGGUACUAUUCACUUUAACGAAAAAUUACAUUUUCACACUAAAAAGUCAAACAUGGUACUGUUCACUUUAUCCUUUAUUUUGUCAUUAUCGCUAAAACUCAAAGUUUUCAAGUUUUUUUUCAUUAGUUUUAUUUUAUUAUUAAUGACCAAUUAUCUGACUUAAACUUAAAAGCAUCAACCCUUAACAUAGAUUAUCAUUGUACUAAAAAUAUUAUUAUUUAAUACAUAAAUACAAAUGUUAGACAACACGAGCAUAAAACCUUCUCGAUUUGAAACCAAGGAUAUAUAUAUUUUGGGAGUUGCCAAGAAAAACAUCAAAUUUAUUUGUACUACCUUUGCUUGGAACACCUAUUGAGGGUAAAAUUGCGUGUGCGUUUGAAAAAAUAGCGGCGUCAAAGGUGGUGAGGGCGAGCCCGUGAGCGAGUUGAGUACCAAAAGCCAAAGGGAAAGGAAUCGGUGGUGGAAUUUGGGAAAUACAGCAAAGACCUUGCUUGGGUCAAAUAUAUAUGCGCGUUUCUUAAGGGGCAGGUCUCAAGUCUCUCUAUUAUCUCAUCAUUCCAUGCAUGCUUUUGACAACGUGUUGUGGUAUUGUGGAUGCCAUGCACCUUCAUAUGAAACAUCAAAAUCAAUCAUUUUGUGUUUUGCUUUUGGUUACGUAGUGUUAAGGAGAUAAAUCAUCCACAUAUAACCAUUGGCGGAUCCAAGAUUUGAACAUUAGGGGCCUCAGCAUUAAAGAUCUAAGUUUUUUAAAAGAAACAGAGUGCGAAGUGCAUAAAAAAAUUUCAGUUUAUUCACUGAAACAUUUCGUCGAACACUUGUUGGGCUUGUUGCCGUCAACCAAACUAUGUUGCACACAUGUCAACAGAUAUCAACAUAUACCGAAGCACUUUGAGGAGUGUUAUCGAGUGUUCUCGAUGCAACCUGCUGAGUGAUGUCGAGAUAUGUCUAGAUGGUCUCAAGUCCGAUUGUCAUGAAUAACAAGUUCAUACCUACUUUUAGUGACAGCUCAAAUCCUCACAUCCAGUGGCGAAGCCACGUGAAGGCGAGGAGUGGCGCCUCGCCGGAAAACACAGCCCCAGCGCAGGUUCAGCCCCUCCCCUCCCCAGGGCCAACCUAGGCCCAAUGCAGGCAGGGCGACCGUCCAUGGCCCAAAAUAAUUGGGGGCAUCAAAAUUAUUAGGGUGGUACAUUUAUAUAUGUUUUCAUAAGAGUAUACAUUUAUAAAAUUUGGUUUAAUGACAAAGAAAUUUAACUAGAAAUGAUGGUUUUAUUGUUUGAAAUUAAUAAGGAGGUCUUGGGUUCAAAUCA